UAAAAAAAUCCCCUCUGCGCCGGCCGGCGCCCGACGGCCCGAUUCAGCGCCUUCCGCCGGAGACCGCCCACCGCCGACGAGGGGCACGCCGGUGAUCUCCCCCAGCCCGCCUGCCCCUCUUUCAUCUCCGUUCUACUCCUUCUCUCUCGGCCCCCUCGAGCUCGCCUCGAUCCAUGGCCUCUCCUUAAACCUAGCUCCAGUCACGGCCACGACCGGCUUCGCAGCUCCCGGCCGCCAUCGCCUGCGCCUUCCCCCGUGUCUCCCUCACCUCGCCUGUGCAGCACCGUGGUUGUACAUCGCCAGCGCCAUCAGCUACAGCCCCGCUCUAAUCCACCUGCAAGCCAUGGACAGCGGCCUGGCUGCUCACUCGUCGCUGGCCUACCAGUACCUCCACCAACAUCUCAUCCAUCUAGAUCAGGGGCGCUUUAAUUUCAGCAGAUUUUCUUCUUCUUUGCAACAUGGAUAAUCCAGAUGUUUUCCUAUGCCUUGAGGAGUUGUUGAUGGAUGAUAUACAUAGGCUACCAGGUGGUAGCUCCAAUGUUGCAACUGAGGUCAGCAAUGGGUGCUUCUCCUGGGAUGGCUCACCUGAGAUACCAACAUUGAAGGAUCUGAAUUUUCAAGCUCGGCAAGGCAUGCGUGUUGCACUUUGUGGGACGGUCGGCUCUGGAAAAUCAAGUUUGAUCACUUGAAUUCUUGGUAUGGUGCCAAAGCUAUUAGGAGAGGCCAAGACUUGCGGAACAAUGGCAUAUGUCAGCCACAAGGCAUGGAUACAGAGCGGCAAAAUUCAGGAUAACAUACUGCUCGGCAAGGAGAUGGAGAGUGAGGAGUAUGGCAGGGUCCUUGAGUGGUAUUCGCUAAAGAAAUACUUGGAGAUCAAAAUCAUUGGAGAGUGAGGCUGCACUCUUAGUGGCAGGCAGAAACAAAGGAUUCAGAUAGCCCGAGCAUUGUGAUGUAUGCUGACAACUAUUUUGUUCCAUGAUCCGUUCAACGCAGUUGAUGCUCAUACAGGAUCCCAAUUUUCCAAGAAUCUUUGCUGAACUCCCUUGGUGUUAGUUGUUCUUGAACCGAAGAAACGUGCGGUCUGGAAUUGACAUCAUUCAGUUCCUUGAUGAAAACAAAGUUGCAUGUCCUUUUAGUCUAAACGUAAUAUUAUGCCUUGGAGCAUAUGAUGGGGGUCAAAUCGCAGUUAUGAACUGCAUUGCACGUGCAUGAAGGCGAAUGAUUUUUCUGGAUGCCAUUGCCAUCUGAUCGAUGGUUUCGCCGCGGUCGUCGGGAGAAAUAUCAUCGACGGUAGGGGAAAAGCGGGUAGGCUGAGGCGGGCACCCACACCAAGCGGCCGACCCACGAAGGCGGCCAUGCAGCUCCGCCUCGUGCCUCUCUCCCCAUCUUUAUGUUCGUGUCAAACCCAGCGCAAGGUAGAGGCAGAAGAGGAGGCCGGGAAGAGAAGCUGCAAGAGAAAGUUGUUGAAGUGGAAGAAGGUGAACCUGUAGAAGAGCUGAAAAAAGGACGUGGUAGAGACAAGGAAGCAAAGCCUAAACAGUAUAAUGAUUACUACCUCGCCCAGCCGCGCAUCCAAGACGCGGCGCUUGCUGGAAAGCUGGUCAAGUAGGUCCUCGACUGCGAGAUUUAGCUGAUUGAUCCUGUGCAUUAGCCUAAUUGUUACAAUAAACGAACUUACAACAAUGAUGCUUUCUAUAUUGAAUUCUUAUAUUCGACCUCACCAUUGCUUAGUUUCCUUUCCUGAUGUCAAGACACAAAGAAUUUGAGAUUCAAUUUAUCUUUUUUAGUUUUCACACUAGAGUGCUUCAUUUAUAUGUAUUACUGUAGACACAUGGGAAUCCUCAAGGUGUCAGGCUUGUUCUUAUUAUUGCUCAUGCAACC
Molecule: long non-coding RNA, 1881 nt
Organism: Triticum dicoccoides
Lineage: Eukaryota; Viridiplantae; Streptophyta; Magnoliopsida; Poales; Poaceae
Exons: 6
Source: RefSeq, a predicted model, not a curated record